AGCAAUCUAUACGGUGAAACUGCGAAUGGCUCAUUAAAUCAGUUAUCGUUUAUUUGAUAGUACCUUACUACUUGGAUAACCGUGGUAAUUCUAGAGCUAAUACAUGCUAAAAACCCCGACUUCGGGAGGGGUGUAUUUAUUAGAUAAAAAACCAACGCCCUUCGGGGCUCCUUGGUGAUUCAUAAUAACUAAACGAAUCGCAUGGCCUUGCGCCGGCGAUGGUUCAUUCAAAUUUCUGCCCUAUCAACUUUCGAUGGUAGGAUAGUGGCCUACCAUGGUAUCAACGGGUAACGGGGAAUUAGGGUUCUAUUCCGGAGAGGGAGCCUGAGAAACGGCUACCACAUCCAAGGAAGGCAGCAGGCGCGCAAAUUACCCAAUCCCGACACGGGGAGGUAGUGACAAUAAAUACUGAUACAGGGCUCUUACGGGUCUUGUAAUUGGAAUGAGUACAAUUUAAAUCCCUUAACGAGGAACAAUUGGAGGGCAAGUCUGGUGCCAGCAGCCGCGGUAAUUCCAGCUCCAAUAGCGUAUAUUAAAGUUGUUGCAGUUAAAAAGCUCGUAGUUGAACCUUGGGCCUGGCUGGCCGGUCCGCCUCACCGCGUGCACUGGUCCGGCCGGGCCUUUCCUUCUGGGGAUCCGCAUGCCCUUUACUGGGUGUGUCGGGGAACCAGGACUUUUACUUUGAAAAAAUUAGAGUGUUCAAAGCAGGCCUUCGCUCGAAUACAUUAGCAUGGAAUAAUAGAAUAGGACGUGCGGUUCUAUUUUGUUGGUUUCUAGGACCGCCGUAAUGAUUAAUAGGGAUAGUCGGGGGCAUCAGUAUUCAAUUGUCAGAGGUGAAAUUCUUGGAUUUAUUGAAGACUAACUACUGCGAAAGCAUUUGCCAAGGAUGUUUUCAUUAAUCAGUGAACGAAAGUUAGGGGAUCGAAGACGAUCAGAUACCGUCGUAGUCUUAACCAUAAACUAUGCCGACUAGGGAUCGGGCGAUGUUACUAUUCUGACUCGCUCGGCACCUUACGAGAAAUCAAAGUC
RNAcentral lists this ribosomal RNA (1029 nucleotides) under Acrogenospora thailandica. RNAcentral's name for it is "SSU rRNA". It matches the Rfam family "Eukaryotic small subunit ribosomal RNA", at positions 68 to 1105 of the family's 1831-position model. The record is from RNAcentral. Lineage: Eukaryota; Fungi; Ascomycota; Dothideomycetes; Minutisphaerales; Acrogenosporaceae.